This 1614-nucleotide ribosomal RNA is filed under the name Ctenocephalides felis (cat flea). Its description in RNAcentral is "eukaryotic LSU rRNA". The stretch from base 1 to 1276 matches the Rfam family "Eukaryotic large subunit ribosomal RNA", at positions 727 to 3401 of the family's 3401-position model. Lineage: Eukaryota; Metazoa; Arthropoda; Insecta; Siphonaptera; Pulicidae. The record is from RNAcentral.
ACUUUUCUAUACAAAGUGUGGUCUCUCGGGUGACGCCGAGGAACAUUUACGCACUAUGCUAUUAUAUAUAUAUAUAUAUAUAUAUAUAUAUAUAUAUAUAUAGCACCCUGGUUGAUCCUGCCAAUAGUAUAUGCUUGUCUCAAAGAUUAAGCCAUGCAUGUCUCAGGGGUAAACCUGAGAAACCCUGGUGGUGUGCGCAGAAGGGUUUGGGCGUAAGCCUGCCUGGAGCCGCAAUCGGUGCAGAUCUUGGUGGUAGUAGCAAAUACUCCAGCGAGGCACUGGAGGACUGACGUGGAGAAGGGUUUCGUGUGAACAGCCGUUGCACACGAGUCAGUCGAUCCUAAGCCCCAGGAGAAAUCCUAUGUUAAUGUUGGUGUAUUUUAUUUUGAAUAAAAUUUCACACCCAUCGGGCGAAAGGGAAUCCGCUUCCUAUCCCGGAACCCGGCAGCGGAACCGUUUACAAGUCGGGCCCUCGCAAGAGAGUUCGUCGGGGUAACCCAAAAUGACCUGGAGACGCCGUCGGGAAAUACGGGAAGAGUUUUCUUUUCUGUAUGAGCGUUUGAGUUCCCUGGAAUCCUCUAGAAGGGAGAUAGGGUUUGGAACGCGAAGUGCACCGCUGUUGCGGCGGUGUACGUAUCUUCCCCUCCGACCUUGAAAAUCCAGGAGAGGGCCACGGUAGGUGUCGCGCCGGUUCGUACCCACAUCCGCAGCAGGUCUCCAAGGUGAAGAGCCUCUAGUCGAUAGAUAAAUGUAGGUAAGGUAAGUCGGCAAAUUGGAUCCGUAACUUCGUAUAAGGAUUGGCUCUGAGGAUCGGGGCGUGCCGGGCUUGGUUGGGAAGCGGGCGUAGGCCGAUGUGCCGGGCCUGGGCGAGGUGAAAUUGUCCUUGUGACUUAGAUCCGAGAUCGGUCCCGUGUCUAGGCCCACCGCGGAUCUUUCUUGCUGCGAGGUUUCUGUGCCGGCUUCGGUCGGUCAGUCGUACUUUUCGGCCGCCAUUCAACGGUCAGCUCAGAACUGGCACGGACUAGGGAAAUCCGACUGUCUAAUUAAAACAAAGCAUUGCGAUGGCCCUAGCGGGUGUUGACGCAAUGUGAUUUCUGCCCAGUGCUCUGAAUGUCAACGUGAAGAAAUUCAAGCAAGCGCGGGUAAACGGCGGGAGUAACUAUGACUCUCUUAAGGGGUAGAACAGAGGAGAUUGUAAUGCUCCAGAGACGUUAGACCACGUCCUACAAACUUGUCAUCGGAACCAUCGACAACAAAUAGAAAGACACAAUGCGGUGUGUAACUACGUCAAAAGAGCGUUGGAGAAAUCACACUCUCGAGUGGAUUGGGAGCCAACCUUCAAAACACCUGAAGGCGCUCGAAAACCGGAUUUGAUCGCGUCACAGGGUCAGAAGGCAGUUGUACUGGAUGCCCAAAUAGUAGGAAGCUCUACUAAUAUGGCCGGAGCCCACAGGCGGAAGAUCGAACAUUAUAAGAAUCUCGAAGACGUAGUGAAACUGAAAUACAAUGUGUCAACAGUGGUGUACAACACAAUUAUCCUAAACAUCAGGGGUGUAUGGCACGAAGAAUCGGCAAAUUUUCUAGUGUCGGAGAAGAUACUUAAUAAAAAUGAAA